RNAcentral lists this long non-coding RNA (15060 nucleotides) under Sorghum bicolor (sorghum). Its description in RNAcentral is "long non-coding RNA (SBIC_LNC014472)". Lineage: Eukaryota; Viridiplantae; Streptophyta; Magnoliopsida; Poales; Poaceae. The record is from RNAcentral.
CGCAGGACUUAAAAACACUGAACGCCGUGCCAAGAGGUAAACUUGGUAGUUUUCAUUUUCCCUUCAUAUUAUUUAUUUUCCUUAAAUAGCUUGUUUAGUUAAUCGGGUUCAUACUAUCUUGAAAAGAAAAUAAAAAUGCUAAAAAUAGUAAGCCCCAUGUGAAUAUACGAGUGGCAUAAAACCCAUAAGUACGUUCAUUGUGGUGGCAUAAAAAUAAAAUAAGUAUUUUUCUGCUCUAUAAAAAUGAAAUUAUAAAAAUAAGAUUGUGAUCGUACUAAAGAGAGUAAUAUUUAUUGAGGAGGCUCAACAUGAUAAAGGCAAGAUAUUUAUGCUAACACUUAACCAGUUCCACAAAGCUUUGUUGUCUAUUGGAGCUCCACAUAAUUCAAGGAUCAAAGAAGACUAGCAGACGGAGGACAUCCUAAUCGCUGUCAGGGUGCUGCCGACAUUCAAAUACACCUCCGCCACCUGCUAGCUACAUCAGAAGAAAUUACGUUAAAAUCCAGCUUGGGGGAGAGCACCCCCAUUUAUCCAGCUAAGUGUUUCUACUCGCGUUUAUACUCUACUCAAAUAAUAAAAGAUGCAUAAUCAUAAAAACCCAAAUAAAGAUUUUUGUGCUUACAUAUAUAUAUAUCUUUGCUUAGUUUGCUAAAUAAAUAAAUAAAUGAAGUUUGCUAUGAACCCGCAUGAUAAGCCCCCACCUAAAAAUAAUGAAUAGUUGCUUUGCCAUGACUAGUUCUCAAAACUAAAAUCUCUCUCAAGUUUAGGCAUAACUGUUAUAAUUUAAACCUGCUCUAGACCUGAACUUGUGGGAAGAGUACUUGAUCUGAAGUCUAAAUCGUUAACGGAUAUGAUAUGGGAAAGUUGAGCUGCUGUUUAUCUGUUCCUAGAGACACUAGAUUUCUGGAGAAUUUUAUCUUUAAAAUAACACAUGAUGAGUUCCUGUAUGAUGAGAGUUUAAAUUCCUACCAUAGCCAUAUAUACAUGCUUAUUAGACUAUGAACCAUACAUUUACUUUUUACUGCUUAUGAUCAUUGAGUGUGGUCAAGCUGUGUAGACCCUUAGGAGCUUGUCAUGCGGUUAAAAUCAAGAUUCACUUGCACGUUCACUCAUACAUGCUGCUUCUACUCCGGAAGUACACAUCGACAUACAUCCACUCAUUUCCAUCUCCAGAUUUACCCAAAAUUAUUCUACUCCUAUCCAUGAGAGAAUAGCCAAAAACAUUAUCCUAUCCUUGCUAUUCCCCAUGAAAUAAAUGCUCGAGAUAUUUUGGUUACUACCACUUGCUACAAUAUUCUAGGAGGGUGAGUGCUCUGAAAAAAAAAGAAGAAAAGGAAAAAUACGAGGAAAUAAAAAGGGGCAAGUGCCUGGAACCUCGAAGAAAAGAAAAAGUGAGAUGAGAGGUAAAAAUGGACAAAUGUCCGACAGUAUAAUUAGGGGUACAAGAUACCCACCUGAGAGAAAAGAAAAAAAUAAAUAAAGAAAUAUAGAACAUCGCAUUCUCCUCAAAAAAGUUUCAAAGUGCAAGAAAGGUAUGUAUCCCCUAAAAAGAGCAAAAGUAGAAUUAGACCUUCACCAUUGUUAUCACCAUUAUCAAUAUACACCAUUCACUCGCCACACAUGCACAUCUUGAUUUGACUUAUUGACUUGUUCUUCUUGAUCCAUGGUUUGACUAUGCAAUAAAUGUCUUGUAAGUAUGUAUUAUCUAUCUCCCACCUAUGAGCUCCAGAUAUCAAAACCUUAUUAGAGUAGGGUGAGAGAGAAGGCAAUAUCACUAUGCCUCAUACCACAAAUACUACAUACUUUGAGAGAAGCCAUAUGUCAUCACUGCCUUGGUGACGAUCCAGAAAUACCACAAAAGAGAGAUUUGAGAGAGUCAUACAAGGAAUCUCUGAGUUUUAUUUGAAAAUCUGCAAAAACUCCAGAACUAUAGUUAAUCAAAGAACAAGUGACAUGGCGCUUGACUAGACUGUUGUAUCUUUUAACUACUCAAGACAAAAGUGACGGUUGCAAGCCCCAUGGUGAAAGGUAAAAUGAGUAAGUUUUAAGUCUUAACAGUUUACUCUAACUCAGAGAUGAGAUCUUGCUUGAAUGCAUGUGUAUUUUUAAGGCAUGAAAGCACUGCAGAAACUUUUGAGUCAAUCCUUGCUCAGGGACGAGCAAGAGGUAAGCUUGGGAGAGUUUAUUGACGGUCCUUAAGUACCAAAUACAAUUAUGAAAUAAAUAAAGAAAAGGAUCCAAAUGCAACCAACACCCAGACUUAGGGUUUUAUCUGACAGAAUUCCACGAGUUUUGGUGUUUGUCUAUUUCUACAGGUGGUAUCAGGAAAUAUGGAGGAAAGGCCCACACGUCGGGAUUACAUAGAGAUAUUAAUGUGCCGCGCAAUUUUCUAUCAUCAAGAAGAGUCCAGAAGCCACGGGAACGAACGCGAGGCCGAACAGGCCCGGGGGCAGGGCGCCCGCCCUCCCCCCUUGGGCGCCUGCCCUGGUACAAGCACCAAUCACAGAAUGGAGUACACCAUUACAAAGAUCUCGUCGAGCUGAUCGAAAUGCAUAUAUUAUUUGCUAUAUUUGGAGUUCGGAAUCAACAGAUAUUAAUAAAAGGACUUCACAUUAAGGCCUGAGAUAUGGUGGAAUGUUUAGUACCACGUCGCCUGCCGAACCAAAAAGGCACAAAUGGAGGAGGCUAUAUAAGCAAGGCCCCUGGCCCCUGGAGGAGAACAAGUUCAUCAUAGAAUUGAGAGGUGCCCUCGAAGGAUAAUCUCUCCUCUAAAUAGACUUAGGGCUUAGCAUCUAAUGUGAGUAGAUUAGAUCUACUAGAUUUAGAGAGAUAGAGUGGAGGUGUAGAUCGAAGGAAGCCCAGCCUGUCGGUGUCUACUCCGAGGUUGUAACUACGGGAUCAAGUUCUCCUAACCAGAGGCUUGCUCAUAGGAUUCUUCAGUAAUUCGACUUCUAAAUGCUAGUAAAUUCUUGUCUUAUUGUUCUUUGGUUUAUGACUUUACUUUAAUCUCUUCCGAUUGAGUUUAGAGUAAUCAUUGCUAGCGUAAAUGUGGUGUUUGGGCUAGGGUACUCAUAGAUAUGCCCUGACUAGCUGGACCAUGGUAGUAGCGAGGAAUGUGACAUUUUCGAGUUACCUUUGCAGCCCACAUCUCGUUAGCAGGACGGGUAGGGUUUAUAGGUGCUGGUCGAACAUCCUCUGUGGUGUCUAGAUUCCGUGAGCUUCCCCAAUAGAACAGUAGAUCAUCCUUACCAAGGUUAGAAUGAGACUACGGUUGUAGUCUUCUCUAUACAUCGCUCACAUCGAGAAACAUUCUUUGUAGCCUAAAGGGUAGUAGCAAUAGAUUUGGUUAGUCAGAUGCACGCUUUCUUCGAGUGGUAAAAAUAUAAAUACGAUACUCUGGAUAACCUCCCGGGUGAAGUGCUUCCCGAUAUCCAUGCGCUUGCGGAUCCUUUCCUGAUGGCGUUACCAAAUAUCAACAGCCAUUCACACACCCCCACAACUAGCUUGGACAUAGAACCCUAAGUUGGAUCUACUUGUAUUCACUCCUGUACAAGCACUUAGGUGCAAGAUAAUACGCACUCCCCCUCCCCACUGGACGUAGGGCCUUCUUUGCCUGAACCAGGAUAAACUCUUGUGUCACUCUUGCAUAACCAUCUGGAAAAGAGAGCACGCAUACAAAUUCACUCGUUGGUGUUACCCCUCGAGGUCAAUACACCGACAGUUGGUGCGCCAAAUAGGGGUCCUGCGUGUUACUAUCAAUUUCCCAUCUUUUUCCGGCUUUGGCUACGACAUGAUCCUGCACUCAGUCAGAGGACUGGUAGGGGCUCGCAUUAUGCCCGCACGAUCGAAGGCCCCACGGUAGCCUCAUCACCACGCUUCCCCGCCUAAGAGGAGGCGCGAUCAGCAUCGCCACCACCCCACCGCUGCUGCACGAUCGUCGCCUCAUGCUAGACAGGAAGACCUUCCGGUGGAGGAGCCGACAGCUCCGCGCGCCAAGACAGCCAUUACGACGGCUAACCGGUGGAGCAGCCACUUGAUGGCGCCAAGAAACAGCGUACCCCGCGCACCAUCGCCGCCAUGCGCCCUGCUGCCACAUGGCCUAUUCGCCACUAGGCGAAUGCUCCUAUUCGGCAUGGACAAUGCCACAACAUCACUCACCAGGGUAAUAUGUCCGGGUGACAGCAUGUGUGUGGAGCGGGCACUGGCCCUCCCACGCAACACACAGACGCAGCAAGAAACUCAGCAUGUGGCUGAAUGUCCAGGUUUUCCCUAGAUAUGUAGGCAUCGAUGCCUGGGACCUGGGCACUACACCCUCCCCAUGCUCAGGCAGCAGUUGGCAGAGGAAUGGCGUGAAUGUUUAUACACCGUCGAGCGAGAUCCUGACUCUGAGUCCGACAACUACGACCCCACGAGAGAGUGCUUCAACAUCGACGGAGCCGUGGUAACCAUGGACGACACGGAGGAUGCCACUGUCGCUGCUCGAGCUCCAGCAGCAGGAGGAAAACCUAGGACACCACAGGUAGACCCGCCCCCUAGGACGAUAGGGCAGUGCAACUUGCGCAACUGCGCGAGCUGAAGGCCAAGCUCGACGAGGACCGAGAUUGCCUCGAUCAACUAGAGCGGACCCUCGAGCAAGACCAACCGCACCCGCAUGGCUGGGGCGAGUUUGGACGUGCUCGAGAUGUGUACCAACAAAUCGUUGAGGAUGGAGAGCCCGAGCAACUCAUCAGUCGCUUCCCUCGAGCCAGUCAAAAUAUCGUGGUAGCAACCAUGCUGCUAUACAACAUGCCCGAGCCAUCAAACUCCUAGGCGCGACGCAUAUGGGACGAGGUGCAAGGCUUGCUCCACGUGGCAGUAGCACAGCAGGCCGAGAGCUCAGCUUCUCGAUGACAAGGGGUGGCCAUAGAAAAGCACCCUGGGCUAGCUCAAAACGAUAGGGAAGUAUUAGUUCACCAGGAGAUACCACCUCGAGGCAGGAAAACGAUGCCAAUCCAGGAGCGUGUCGUCACUAAUCGAGGACCUCACAACGCUCGACACGACAUAAACGAAUAUCGACGACACAAACACGGGGAUGCUGAGGAGCGGGGCUACAGCGCCCACCGCGGUGGACGCUAUGACAGUGACGAGGACUGGAUGGCUCCAGAGCGUCCAGGCCCCCCAGUCUUCAGCAGAGCGAUUUGCGGUACACCACUGCCAAGCCCGUUCCGACCCUCGACUAGCAUUGCCAAGUACAAUGGCAAAACCAAGCCAAAACUUUGGUUGGCAGAUUUCUGGCUAGCAUGCCAGCUAGGAGGUGCUUGAGGGGACGAUCGAGCCAUCAUCCGGCAGCUCCCACUUUUCCUCUCCAACACCGCAUGUAGGUGUCUCGAGGAACUCCCAGCCAACCAAAUCCAUGACUGGACCGAUCUAGUCCUGGUGUUCAAGGGAAACUUCAAGGGGACCUACAUCCGCCCCGGUAAUUCAUGGGACCUCAGCAAGUGCAAGCAAAAAUCUGGAGAAUCCCUCUGAGAGUAUGAUCGACGCUUCUCCAAGCAACGCACGGAGCUCCCGCACAUCCCCGACCAUGAUGUCAUCCUGGCAUUCCUCUUAGGCACCACAUGUAAAGACUUGGUAUGAGAAUUGGGGCAAAAUCGUCUGCAAAGCGUCGACGAGCUGAUGGACGUAGUGGCGAACUACGCCGCCGGCGAGGAGACGGUCGGUGCUUUCUUUAGCCACAAGAACGACAAGGGGAAGGAGCCAGCCGACGAUGAUGAGGGCCCCAGCAGGGGACCUGAAAAGAACAACAAGAAAAAGUAGAAAGCACGACAGAACAAGCAUGAGGCUCUCAACAAUGAUUUCGUCGCUGUGGUCGAGCGCAAGAAGCCUCGAGCCCCCCCGGAGGGGGUGGUCUUCGACAAGAUGCUCAAGGAGCCCUACCCUUACCACAAUGGAGGGGCCAACCACAAGCUCGAGGAUUGCCGCAUGCGGAAUAAAUACUUUGAUAGGCUAGGGCUAAAGAAGGACGACCAGAGGAAGGACAAGGGCGACGACAAAGGCGGAACCAAGGACGACGAAGGGUUCCCCACCGUCCACGAUUCCUAUAUGAUAUAUGGCAGACCCUCGACGCAGCUCACCCCACGAUAGCGUAAGAGGGAAUUGCAGGAAGUUUUCACAGCAAGGAUGGCGGUGCCACAGUACCUCAACUGGUCGAGCAUGUAACGUCCCGCCUCCACGAGGCUAGGCCCACUUACAUGUGGUAGCUUUUCUAGGAUAUAGUCAGUCGCAACUUGUUGGUAUGAGUCUCCUAUUAAUCAUAUUAAGCCCUAGGCCAGGUGUUACAUCCUCACCCCCUUAAGAGAUCGAUGUCCUCGUCGAUCAACCCCAAGCGAGGAACGUCCCCUCUUGACCACGUCCGUGCAUCCAGUUCCAGCGCAUAUGCCAUGCUGUGUGACCACUCCGGAUCCACACCAGCCAUGCACACCAUGCUUGCACAAUUGCAAUACACGCGCUCGUGAAACCGUGAGGGUUGGCUCUGGUACCAUUCUGUAACGUCCCACCUCCACGAGGCCAGACCCACUUACAUGUGGCAGCUUUUCUAGGAUAUAGUCAGUUCCCACAGACCAACAUUAGUCUUUUCUACACACUUUGUCCUCACUCGUGCGCAACCGAGAAGUACUUCCAAGUCGGUCACCCAUCUCUAAAUUGCUCUAGGCUAAGCACGCUUAACUUUAGAGUUCUUUAGAGAUGGGCUCUCGGAAAAGAAGUUGCAACUAGUUGGUAUGAGUCUCCUAUUAAUUCUAUUAAGCCAUAGGUCGGGUGUUACAAAGCACCCCCAUCACCUUCGAUCGCGACGAUCACCCUGAUAAGUUCAUUGCCCCUGGCGUCUACCCGCUCGUCGUCGACCCCAUCAUCGUCAACACCCGACUCUCAAAGGUACUGAUGGAUGGUGGCAGUAGCCUCAACAACAUCUACCUUGAGACUCUCGACCUCCUAGGCAUUGAGAGAGCAUAGCUCCAGCCUAGCGUGGGCGGCUUCCAUGGUGUCGUGCCCGAGAAGAAAGCAUUACCGGUAGGUCAAAUCGACCUACCGGUCUGUUUUGGCAUGGUAUCCAACUUCACAAAUGAGACCCUCACUUUCGAAGCGGUAGGUUUUCGAGGUACCUAUCACGCCAUCAUCGGCCCCCGGGAUACGCCAAGUUCAUGGCAAUCCCCAACUACACCUACCUCAAGCUGAAGAUGCUCGGGCCCAAGGGGGUUAUCACCAUCAGCUCCUCCUACAAGUAUGCUUACAAAAGCGACAUCGAGUGCGUCGAGUAUGAGGAGGUGGUAGAGAACACCACCGAGCUUGCCUCGAGGCUCGAGGCCCUCGCUGCUGAGGCUCUAGAGCCAAAGCGCUAUGCGGGCAGCUUCGAGCUGACGGAGGGCAUGAAGAAAGUCCCGCUCAACCCCGACAACUCUGAUGGCAAGUCAUUGACGAUCAGCGCCAACCUCAACCCCAAAUAGGAGGCCGUGCUCGCACAAACGCCAACAUGUUUGCAUGCAGUCCCUUGGAUAUGCCAGGCAUACCGAGGGUCGUCGCCGAGCACUCCUUAGAGAUCCGAGCCGGUUCGAAACUAGUGAAUCAACGCCUGCGCUGCUUCGACGAGGAGAAGCGCAAGAUCAUUAGGGAGGAAGUCCACAAGCUUUUGAUGGACGGGUUCAUCAAGGAGGUUCAUCAUCCCGAAUGGUUAGCCAAUCCUGUAUUAGUUAAGAAAAAGAAUGGAAAAAUGAGGAUGUGUGUAGAUUACACUAGUUUAAAUAAAGCAUGUUUGAAAGUUCCAUUUCCUUUGCCACAUAUUGAUCAAAUUGUCGAUUCUACCAUGGGAUGUGAAACCCUUUUGUUCCUUCAUGCUUAUUCCGGCUACCGUCAAAUAAAAAUGAAAGAGUCCGUCUAGCUUGCGACCUCUUUCAUCACCCCUUUUAGAAUGUACUAUUAUGUGACCUUGCCCUUCGGGCUUCGAAAUGCCGAGGCGACAUACUAGCGGUGCAUGCUCCAUGUUUUUGGGGAGCACAUAGGGUCGACGGUCGAGGCAAUACCAUAACUAUAAAUCCAUCAUUAGCAAUGGCCCAGAAAUGUCGGGUGUUGGUAUACCAUAACUAUCGUUACGUCAGAGAGAUAACCCAAGGCCUUUAACUGCGUGGCCUUAGCAGUGCAGUCUGGUAACAAUAAUUAGGAAUGUCGGAUUGGCCAUCCUAACCAUCCUUACUUACGAUAUGCAAAGCUAUAGCACGGCGCCAGAUAAAUGCACAACGUUUACAAUCUUAAGUAAUGGUACUUAGGUAUGCCAAUCAAUAGUUCAUGAAUAUAAAGAAUAACACUGCAAGCGAACAAAACUAUCAUUGUAGCAUUUCAACCCGUGAGUAUUCAAGGGUUAUCAUAUUUAAUCCCGUAGGAGGGCGUAACAAAUGCAUCUUGCUUGGUUUCUAGCAUGAUCACUUAUUGAGAUGCAUAGGUAGACAUAGUCUAAUCAGGGGUCACUGUAGGCUCUUAAAAUAUGGAUAGUGGACACACUCAUCGGGGCAACCUCAAGGAAUAAAGAGAAAAUAUGGAAAUAAAAGAAAUAAAGAACAACUACUUGAGCCGGCAAUGAUCUUAUAUACCUAUACAAAGAAUUGUUAGUAGAAUAUAUAAUUAAUAUAACUAGAGUUAGAACUAAGUCUAAGGCUCUGGCGGGAUCCCCAUAGCUGGACAUCUAGCCGAUAGGGACUUUACAGAACUCCUACCGGAAUACCUGAUCGUGGGGGAAUACCAGGGAUGACAGGGCUAUCACUACCCUGCCACCUACCCGUCUACCCGAAAGAUAUCUGUUGACGGUCCUUAAGUACUAAAUUUAACCAUCAAAUAAACAAAGAAAAGGAUCCAAAUGAAACAAACAUCUAGAAUUAGGGUUUUAUCUGACAGAAUUCCACGAGCUUUGGUGUUUGUCUGUUUCUGCAGGGGGUCAUCAGAAAAUAUGGAGAGAAGGCCCACAUGUCAGGUUUACAACGAGAUAAUUAUGUGUCACGCAAUUUUCCUUAAUCUAGAAGAGUCCAUAAGCCACGUGAACAAACGGGAGACCGGACAGGCCCGGGGGCAGGGUGCCCGCCCUCCCGCCUUGGGCGCCCGCCCUGGCCUCGGGGCCAAUCACAGCCAACCUCGCGGAUUAUGCUCCACCGACCUAAAGGAUCAAGGAAAACCGUGCGAUCAAUGUCGGUUUGAUCUGACAGCCCAAAUUCACUUGAAAGGACUAUAAAAGCAGGGCCUCUCCACCCCAGGAGGAGGAGGAGAAAUCAUUAUCAGAGAUAGCCAUCAAAGUUAGGGUUUAGAACAUCUCUCCCACAGAGACUUAGAAUUAGCUACUCCCCAAUCCUUCAAGUUUAGAGGAUUGAUUAGAUAGAAUUAGGGAAGUAGAGCCUAGCACACUGGAUUCGGAUCUUCGUUAAUUAAGAUUGGUAUUAUUUCUUAUCUUUCUCUACUACUUUAUUCUAAUUGCAUUAUGUCUCUAUUUAUUAUGCUCUUAGUUUGCUCUAGUUCUAUAUUUGAUAUAGUUUUGAUUGAUAAUGAGUUUAUGUAUAAGUUUGCAAAGCGCUUAGCUCUUGACGCGCGGGAGUUAAGUGGUAGAUCACAUGUGGGCGCGAUGCUUGGGUGUUAUUUACCUGCAAAUGUAUCCUAUUGGCCAGGUUGUGUGGUUGUUCGCGAUAGUGACAGCUUUGUUGAUUCUUAUAUAGUCCACCCUCCGUUGAUAGGAUAGGCAGAAUUUGUAUUGCGGAGUAAGUCUUACGAUGCUCUGAUUUACUUUAGCAAUGUUCCUUAUACAUGAAUGAAGAGUCUUUUAUGCUAUACAUGAUCUUGUAGAUAACUAGAGUAGAUUAUGACUUAGUAGAUAGUAGAUAACUUAGAAUCCAUUCUCUAGCUAAUCUGACGUCACCUUACAUAUAUGAGGAGUAGUCUAUUUUCUAAUCGCUGUGUUCUUUACCCAUGAGCUUAUAUUUCAUUAUCAUUAUUAUUAUGGCUUACCCCCUGCCAAAGUAAGUGACUGUGUGAUGAGUUCCUCAUUAGUAAUCAUGUUCUUGCAAGUUUAUCUCUAGUCUAUGCCUUGAUAGAUUUAUCCUUAUCUUCAUUUCAUCCUUUUUUCCUGAGCAAAAUUAUAAAUAACGAUACCUGGAAUACUUACAUGGUGAAAUGCUACAAUGAGGUGUUUUAUUUGUGCGCUUGCGGAUAGAAUAGAUUAUUUUUUAGAGAGCCUCUAUAUUUAUAAAUACCUUUGUACACUCUGGCACCAUGCUAGGGAUGACAACUUAGUAUCUAAGUGGUGUUAGCAAGUGUCAACAAUACCCAAGCCUCCGCUGAUCUCCGCAUACCCGAGCACCUCGCCUGUGCAAUUGGAAACGCCUCCUAGCCUCCCGGGACCCCAACUCUUCGGAUUGACAGGCUCGGCUAAGAGUGGCCAUCACAGCCCAACAAAACAUUACCCAAUCUUAAUCCUUUGUCUAUUCAUACUAAUUUGAUGAACAAUGAAGAACAAGGAUGAACACAUCAAGAACAUAGCACAAGAACUAAGAACUAGUUCAAAUACUAUGAACAAGAUAUGAACACAACUAUACUCUAAUUCAAUUGCAUAAUCAUAUAAAUAAGAUAAGAACUUGCUCAUGGAGGAGAACUGAAUUGUAUUCAUACCAAGAAGCUCUAAGAUCCUCCAAGGAGACAAACUCUCCUUGCUAGCUUUGCCUUGCUCUACUACUGAAUCUAAACUAAAGAACAAGUGUAGAAAUGUGAUGUGUAUUGCUCCAAAUGAUGGUGUGUGUGUGUGUGUUGAAUGGUGUGGAGCCAUCUAUUUAUAGCCCAACAAGGACGGUUCAUGGCAAUCUAAAUUUGGUAGGAGGUGAAAUCGUCCUAUGCAUGCCGCCAUGCAACCGCCUGAAAAAGGUGGGACCGAGUUGCUGCCACGAGGAAUGCGCCAGCACCACUGGUGGGCCUCCCUGGCCACCGGCUUCGCGUGGUCGGUUCGUCUCUGGGCCUUGAUCCUUCCCGUGGUUACUUAUGGAUCCAGUUCGGUGUUUUGGUGGGCUUUUCCAUUUAUCUUUGAUUUGUGCCUUUUUUGAAGACGCUUUCUUGAAGUGCUCUUUCUCGUGUCUUUUGCGCCUUUCCACAUGUCAUACCUGAAAUUGAUAUUUGCAACAAAACUUGUGGAAAGGUUAGUUCAAAGACCUACCAUCUAUUUAUUUUAUUUAUUAAAAUGAUGUUUAUAAUUAUAAGAUUAGGGGUACCAACAACUCCCCCACACUUGGUCCUUUGCUCGUCCUCGAGUGAAUGCACUAAAGACCAAAUGGGUUCAUCUUCCUUGUCAAAAGAAUCUGCAUACAGGUUCUUCCCAGCUUCAUCUGGAUUUAUGAACUUCAAAGUGUCUACCAAGAUAUCUUGGAUAAUUGAAACAUGGAACAGCCUGGAUUCAAAUCCUCUUACAUAGUCCCUGUGCAGAAACUUGGGGUUUGGAAGAUUUUGAAAAAUAAAGAUAGCAUAUGUUUCUUGAAUGAUGCUCUCAAGUCCCUCCUAAUAUUUGAGUGGUUCCUUACCAAGGCAUAAAGAGUUGAUUCCUUCUUUUUGAUCAUCCUACUUCUAAAAGGCUUAUCUAGAUUUAUGGGUAGGUAUGAUAAUGGAACUUACCCACCCUACAUAUGUAGUCGAGUCAAACCCAGGACCAUACCGGAGGGAGUGCGCCAUACCCUUAGAUGAGAAUGUGCAAGUGUGUGGAAUUUUUGGUGGAAUCCUAUCACUACUUUUAUUGUAACAUUCCUUGCAUCAAGACUCUCUUUUGAAAUGAGAUGAAAACUGGAGAGGAUAUGGGCUAUAACACAGUUUUUUUAUAUAUAUAGCCCAUUCCUAUGAUUCUGAUGAAAACGAAAGAGAGCUUUAUGAUAACAAAUGCAAGGAAUGUAUAUGAAUGCACAAUUCUCAGGGUGAGAUAUUGACAUAUUUAUUUGGUUAAUAUAUGUGCACAACCCUCAGUGUAAGAGUUGGCGAAAUUUUGGGUGGAUGGAGAAAGCAUGUUGUGCGCGACUACUCAGUGUGAGAGUUGGCUUUUAUAUGGUGGGUGCAAGUGAAUUCUGAUCUUAGAGGCAUGAAACAUCUCUCGACAGCGGUCAAAAAAUUUGACCAAACUCAACAUAGAGCAAGCAGCAUAUGUAGAAGGUCUAAUCAUGAACAAAUUUUUGGCCAUGGUAGGAAUAAAUCUUGAACAUUCAAAAAACUUGCUAUUGAAUUUUGCUUUUUAUAAAAGAAAACCCAUGUACUUUACAAGAACCAUUGUUGACACUUGCUAACACCACUUGAAUACUAGGUUGUCAUCCCCAGCAUGGCACUAGAGUGUACUAUGGUAUUUAUACGCACACAGAUAAUCCGCAAGCGCACGGAUACCGUUAUAGCUUUUACCCGGUUAAAGGUUUUAUCGUAUCCACAGGGAAAUGGGAGAACUGAUCUAUGCUCUAACUUAACCAAGAUAAGUAAGUAAGUGUAAAUAGGAAAGAUGGUAGAAUCGAAUAAGAACAAUAUUAAAGGUAAGAUAACAGUGAGUGAUAAUAUGGGAAUAGAGAAUAGAGCAAUUCUAGUAUAUGGGCGAUGGUAGCAGAAUAGAGCGUAUAACUAUGGUUUCUCUACUUCAAAGGGGUAUGUCUAUGUCUAGAACGAACCACGUGAUAAGAGUACACCACAAAGGAUGCUUAUCCUUAGGCCAAUAAACCCUACCCAUCCUGCUAACGAGAGGACCAACGUAACUGUCACCUAUGCGGCCUACCACACGAUCCAGCUAGACAGGGGAUAUCCACAAGUUAUCUAGGUCUAAGCACCACGCUUACACCUAUACUACGACUCUCACCUAUAGCGUCCUAUAGAUUAAAGUACUCAAAAGAGUUGUGAACCAGAACAUACAUAAUUAGUAUUUGCAUAAUGAAUUAGAAGUAGAUUACCAGAGUCAUCCCAUGAGCAAGCUUGAUUAGAGCUUGAUCAUGACGAAGUACAACCGGAGGAAGAACCGACAGGCCAGCCUCUCCUCUAAUCCUCCUUCGCUCUCCAUCUUGCUACUAUCUAGAUCUACUGUAGUUUAGAGAAGAGAGGAGAGCUCUCAUAUCUAAACCCUGGCCUUUGCUCUGUCUAUGAAUAAUGAAUAAUGAUCAAGGGGUGCCUCCUCCAGGGGCCAGGGGGUCUGGUUAUAUAGUCCCCUCAAGUGAACCUAGGCCGUCGGAUCAAACCGACAUUGAUUGAACGGUUAUCCUUGAUCCUUUAGGUCGGUGGAGCUUGGUCCGCAAAGCUGGACGUGUUUGACUACAACUCCUGGGCGGGCGCCCAAGGGGGGUGGGCGGGCGCCCUACCCCCAGGCCCGUUCGCCUUCCGGUUCGUUCCCGUGGCUUCUGGAGUCUUCUAGAUGACGUAAAAUUGCGGGGCACGUUAAUAUCUCUAUGUAAUCCCGACGUGUGGGCCAUUCUUCCAUAUUUCCUGAUAACCCCCUGCAGAAAUAGACAAACACCAAAACUCGUGGAAUUCUGUUAGAUAAAACCCUAAGUCUAGAUGUUGAUUUCAUUUGGAUCCUUUUCUUUGUUUAUUUGAUAAUUAAAUUUGAUACUUAAGGACCGUCAACAAACUCCCCCAAGCUUACCUCUUGCUAUUCCCUGAGCAAGGAUAGACUCAGCAAUGGAUCAGAAGUUGUUGCAAUAUCUUAAAAAUUUGACGGUACACAUGCUUUUAAAUAAGAUCUCAUCUCUGAGUUAGAGUAAACUGUCAAGAACUAAAACUUACUUACCUUUCACCAUGGGACUUGUAACCGUCACUUCUGUCUUGAUUAGUUAAAAGAUAGAACAGUCUAGCCAAGUGCCAUGUCUCUUAUUCUUGAUCAGCUAUAGCUCUGGAGUUUUUGCAGAUUUUCAAAUAAAACUCAGAGAUUCCUUGUAUGACUCUCUAAAUCUCUCUUUUGUGGUAUUUCUGGAUCCUUACCAAGGCAGUGAUGGUAUAUGCCUUCUCUCAAGAUAUGUGGUAUUUGUAGUAUAAGGCAUAGUGACAUUGCCUUCUCUCUCACCCUACUCUAAUAAGGCUUUAAUAUCUGGAGCUCAUAGGUGGGAGACAGCUAAUACAUACUUACAAGACAUUUAUUGCAUAGUCAAACCAUGGAUCCAGAGAAACAAGUCAAUAAGUCAAAUCAAGAUGUGCAUGUGUGGUGAAUGAAUGGUGUAUGGUGAUGAUGGUGAUAACAAUGGUGGAAGUCUAAUUCUACUUUUGCUCUUUUGAGGGGAUACAUACCUUCCUUGCUUUUUGAAACUUUAUGAGGAGAAUGAGAUGCUCUUCUUUUUCUUUUCUCUCAGGUGGGUAUCUUGUACCCCUAAUUCUACUGUCGGACACUUGUCCAUUUUUACCUCUCGUCUCACUCUUUUUCUUUUCUUUCGAGGUUCUGGGCACUUGCCCCUUUUUAUGUCCUCGUAUAUUUUUUCUCUCCUCUUUUUUUUAGAGCACUCAUCUCAUGAGAUAAUACAGCAAGUGGUAGUAACAAGAUAACUUGAGCAUUUAUUUCACAAGGAAAAACAGAAAUAUUUUUGGUUAUUCUCUCCCGGAUUAGGAGUAGAAUAUUUUUGGGUGGUUCUGGAGAUGGACAUGGAUGGAUAUAUGUGGAUGGUACUCCCGGAGUAGAAGUAGCAUAUAUGAGUGAACGUGCAAGUGAAUCUUGAUUUAACCACAUGACAAGCUCCUAAGGGUCUACAUAGCUUGACCAUACUCAAUGCUCAUAAGCAGUAAAAAGUAAAUGUGUGGCUCAAAGUCUAGCAAGCAUGUAUAUAUGGCUGUGGUAGGAAUUUAAAUUUUCAUCAUACAGGAACUCAUCAUGCAAUAUUUUAAAGAUUUUUCAAAGAUAAAAUUCUCUAUAAUUCUAGCAUCUCUAGGAACAGAUAAACAACAGCUCAACCUUCCCAUAUCAUAUCCGUUAACAACAUAGAUUUCAGAUCAAGUUUUCAUCCCACAAGUUUAGAUCUAGAGCAAGCUUUAAAUUAUAACAGUUAUGUCUAAACUUGAGAGAGAACUUCAAAU